UGUCUACAACACCUGGGAUUCCCAGGCCGUCUCCGAUCCAAGUACUAACCAGGCCCAACGUUGCUUA
Molecule: ribosomal RNA, 67 nt
Filed under: Brugia malayi
Lineage: Eukaryota; Metazoa; Nematoda; Chromadorea; Rhabditida; Onchocercidae
Source: RNAcentral